Molecule: unclassified non-coding RNA, 252 nt
Filed under: Allomyces arbusculus
Lineage: Eukaryota; Fungi; Blastocladiomycota; Blastocladiomycetes; Blastocladiales; Blastocladiaceae
Description: partial internal transcribed spacer region
Rfam family: Eukaryotic small subunit ribosomal RNA (bases 1-46)
Source: RNAcentral
AAGUCGUAACAAGGUUUCCGUAGGUGAACCUGCGGAAGGAUCAUUAUUAAUUUUCUUGAAGGCGGCUGUGCGCGUUAAACCGCGCGGCUGUUUUUCUUGUGAACUGGGGCUGCUGGUUAAGCAUUUAUCGUUUUUCCAGCGGCCUGGCUUUAAUGCUCUUGUGUUAAUUUUUUUUGUUUUUACUUUUUUUAAGCUUAACCGCUUAAGAAAAUAAUUACAAGACAACUUUCAGCAAUGGAUCUCUUGGCUCUU